AUGGCUCUCCAUCUUCACCGCCUCCCCCUCCUACUCCUCCUCCUCGUGCUGUCCACCGCCUCCGCCACCCACUCGCCGGAGACCGCCUCCGCGCGCACCCACCACCACCACCACCGCUCGCCGUUCGGCACCGCCACCGCCCACUUCCACCCCGUCCCUGCCGCCGCGCCCUCCAUGCACCAAAACUACCUCCACGCCGACACCCAGUCCCUCCUCUCGGCCGUCGAAGUCGACCCCGUCCUCGCCGACGCGCAGGCCACGGACGCGGCGGAGGCCCGUCCCGCUCCGCUCCUGCCACCCCAAGCGGCCGCGGCCACUCCGGAUCUCGCGGAGGCGACGCCGCAGCCGCAGGAGGAGGGGCCCGAGCCGACGACGCCCGCUGCAGCGACGAUCAGCACGCUUCUCCCGCUCCCUGCCACGGUGGCGACGACCGCGAGCACGCCUCCGCAUCCCGCCGUGUCCGACGCCGAGCAGGGGCUGCAGCAGCUCGCGAGGGUGCUCACCUCCCUCGGGUACAACGAGAUGGCGUCGGAGGCGCCGCUCCUCGCCCGCGCGCCGCCGCUCGCGAGGUGGCCCGGGGCCAUCACCGUCUUCGCCGCCCCCGACGCCUUCCUCCAGGCCUCCUGCCCCAUGUGCUCGCGCCGCCACCUCCUCGAGCAGCACAUCGCCAUGGGCUACUACCCCUACUCCGACCUCGCCGCCGCCGCCACCAUGAAGAUCCCCUCCGCCUCCGUCGGCUUCUGCAUCAAGGUCGCCACCCAGCGGGGCCCCUUCGGCAUCCACUACGCCAGGAUCUACGCCGACGGCGUCGAGGUGUCCCACCCCGAGCUCUACAACGACGGGAAAAAAAUUGUAUGA
This 858-nucleotide ribosomal RNA is filed under the name Triticum aestivum (bread wheat). RNAcentral's name for it is "partial small subunit ribosomal RNA". Lineage: Eukaryota; Viridiplantae; Streptophyta; Magnoliopsida; Poales; Poaceae. The record is from RNAcentral.